Molecule: ribosomal RNA, 407 nt
Filed under: Staphylococcus aureus
Lineage: Bacteria; Bacillati; Bacillota; Bacilli; Caryophanales; Staphylococcaceae
Description: partial 23S ribosomal RNA
Rfam family: Bacterial large subunit ribosomal RNA
Source: RNAcentral
UGGGAUACUACCCUAGCUGUGUUGGCUUUCUAACCCGCACCACUUAUCGUGGUGGGAGACAGUGUCAGGCGGGCAGUUUGACUGGGGCGGUCGCCUCCUAAAAGGUAACGGAGGCGCUCAAAGGUUCCCUCAGAAUGGUUGGAAAUCAUUCAUAGAGUGUAAAGGCAUAAGGGAGCUUGACUGCGAGACCUACAAGUCGAGCAGGGUCGAAAGACGGACUUAGUGAUCCGGUGGUUCCGCAUGGAAGGGCCAUCGCUCAACGGAUAAAAGCUACCCCGGGGAUAACAGGCUUAUCUCCCCCAAGAGUUCACAUCGACGGGGAGGUUUGGCACCUCGAUGUCGGCUCAUCGCAUCCUGGGGCUGUAGUCGGUCCCAAGGGUUGGGCUGUUCGCCCAUUAAAGCGGUAC